AGAACGAACGCUGGCGGCAUGCCUAAUACAUGCAAGUCGAACGAACUCUUCGGAGUUAGUGGCGCACGGGUGCGUAACGCGUGGGAAUCCGCCCCUUGGUUCGGAAUAACAGUUGGAAACGACUGCUAAUACCGGAUGAUGACGAAAGUCCAAAGAUUUAUCGCCAAGGGAUGAGCCCGCGUAGGAUUAGCUAGUUGGUGAGGUAAAGCUCACCAAGGCAACGAUCCUUAGCUGGUCUGAGAGGAUGAUCAGCCACACUGGGACUG
This 266-nucleotide ribosomal RNA is filed under the name uncultured soil bacterium. RNAcentral's name for it is "partial 16S ribosomal RNA". It matches the Rfam family "Bacterial small subunit ribosomal RNA", at positions 26 to 321 of the family's 1533-position model. The record is from RNAcentral.